GCAUGUGAUGACCUUUCUACGGUCUGAGCUCUGCGAUGAUGACUACAGCCAGGGCUGAUU
Molecule: small nucleolar RNA, 60 nt
Filed under: uncultured Thermococcus sp.
Lineage: Archaea; Methanobacteriati; Methanobacteriota; Thermococci; Thermococcales; Thermococcaceae
Description: Small nucleolar RNA sR19
Rfam family: Small nucleolar RNA sR19
Source: RNAcentral